This 468-nucleotide ribosomal RNA is filed under the name Bacillus pumilus. RNAcentral's name for it is "bacterial SSU rRNA". It matches the Rfam family "Bacterial small subunit ribosomal RNA", at positions 15 to 474 of the family's 1533-position model. Lineage: Bacteria; Bacillati; Bacillota; Bacilli; Caryophanales; Bacillaceae. The record is from RNAcentral.
GAUCCUGGCUCAGGACGAACGCUGGCGGCGUGCCUAAUACAUGCAAGUCGAGCGGACAGAAGGGAGCUUGCUCCCGGAUGUUAGCGGCGGACGGGUGAGUAACACGUGGGUAACCUGCCUGUAAGACUGGGAUAACUCCGGGAAACCGGAGCUAAUACCGGAUAGUUCCUUGAACCGCAUGGUUCAAGGAUGAAAGACGGUUUCGGCUGUCACUUACAGAUGGACCCGCGGCGCAUUAGCUAGUUGGUGAGGUAACGGCUCACCAAGGCGACGAUGCGUAGCCGACCUGAGAGGGUGAUCGGCCACACUGGGACUGAGACACGGCCCAGACUCCUACGGGAGGCAGCAGUAGGGAAUCUUCCGCAAUGGACGAAAGUCUGACGGAGCAACGCCGCGUGAGUGAUGAAGGUUUUCGGAUCGUAAAGCUCUGUUGUUAGGGAAGAACAAGUGCAAGAGUAACUGCUUGCA